This 253-nucleotide ribosomal RNA is filed under the name uncultured bacterium. RNAcentral describes it as "partial 16S ribosomal RNA". It matches the Rfam family "Bacterial small subunit ribosomal RNA", at positions 524 to 776 of the family's 1533-position model. The record is from RNAcentral.
UACGUAGGGGGCAAGCGUUGUCCGGAAUUAUUGGGCGUAAAGAGCUCGUAGGCGGUUUGUCGCGUCUGCUGUGAAAACUCGGGGCUUAACCCCGGGCCUGCAUUGGAUACUAUCCGGCUCGAGGAAUGGAGGGGAGACUGGAAUACUUGGUGUAGCAGUGAAAUGCGUAGAUAUCUAAAGGAACACCAAUGGCGAAGGCAGCUUACUGGGCCAUUACUGACACUGAGAUGCGAAAGUGUGGGGAGCAAACGGG